GCCUACGGGAGGCAGCAGUGAGGAAUAUUGGACAAUGGGCGAAAGCCUGAUCCAGCGACGCCGCGUGGGUGAAGAAGGCCUUCGGGUUGUAAAGCCCUUUAAGCCGGGACGAAAAAAUCGGCGAUAACAUCGCCGGUCUUGACUGUACCGGAGGAAUAAGCACCGGCUAACUCUGUGCCAGCAGCCGCGGUAAU
Molecule: ribosomal RNA, 194 nt
Filed under: uncultured Gammaproteobacteria bacterium
Lineage: Bacteria; Pseudomonadati; Pseudomonadota; Gammaproteobacteria
Description: partial 16S ribosomal RNA
Rfam family: Bacterial small subunit ribosomal RNA
Source: RNAcentral